RNAcentral lists this transfer RNA (80 nucleotides) under Eubacterium saphenum ATCC 49989. It matches the Rfam family "tRNA". From Rfam's summary of the family: Transfer RNA (tRNA) molecules are approximately 80 nucleotides in length. Their secondary structure includes four short double-helical elements and three loops (D, anti-codon, and T loops). Further hydrogen bonds mediate the characteristic L-shaped molecular structure. tRNAs have two regions of fundamental functional importance: the anti-codon, which is responsible for specific mRNA codon recognition, and the 3' end, to which the tRNAs corresponding amino acid is attached (by aminoacyl-tRNA synthetases). tRNAs cope with the degeneracy of the genetic code in two manners: having more than one tRNA (with a specific anti-codon) for a particular amino acid; and 'wobble' base-pairing, i.e. permitting non-standard base-pairing at the 3rd anti-codon position. Lineage: Bacteria; Bacillati; Bacillota; Clostridia; Peptostreptococcales; Anaerovoracaceae. The record is from Rfam by way of RNAcentral.
GCGGCUGUGGCGGAAUUGGUAGACGCGCACGCUUGAGGGGCGUGUGGGCAACCGUGCCGGUUCGACUCCGGCCAGCCGCA